RNAcentral lists this ribosomal RNA (458 nucleotides) under uncultured bacterium. RNAcentral describes it as "SSU rRNA". It matches the Rfam family "Bacterial small subunit ribosomal RNA", at positions 26 to 518 of the family's 1533-position model. The record is from RNAcentral.
AGAACGAACGCUGGCGGCAUGCCUAACACAUGCAAGUCGAACGCUCUUGGGGCUUCGGUUCCAAGGGAGUGGCGCACGGGUGAGUAGCGCGUGGGAACCUGCCCUGGAGUGGGGGAUAACCGAGGGAAACUUCGGCUAAUACCGCAUACGCCGGGAAACCGGGAAAGAUUUAUCGCUCUAGGAGGGGCCCGCGUCGGAUUAGGUAGUUGGUGGGGUAACGGCUUACCAAGCCUGUGAUCCGUAGCUGGUCUGAGAGGAUGAUCAGCCACACUGGGACUGAGACACGGCCCAGACUCCUACGGGAGGCAGCAGUGGGGAAUAUUGGACAAUGGGCGCAAGCCUGAUCCAGCAAUGCCGCGUGAGUGAUGAAGGCCUUCGGGUUGUAAAGCUCUUUCGGCGGGGACGAUGAUGACGGUACCCGCAGAAGAAGCCCCGGCUAACUUCGUGCCAGCAGCCGC